UACGCGCAUGAUAAUAACAUGCAAUUUAUCGUGCAGCCCUACUCUCCCCUAUGCCUAAAUCAUACACAAAAUCAUUUUGCUGUGUUUCCCACAGGAUUUUUUUGAGACUAUGGAGGAUAGCUGGACCUUGGUCUGCCUGGGGGAUCUGGGGCCAUGGCCUUGUAUUCAAAGGAAAGGUGAAAAAUGAGGAAGUCUGGGAACCACUGAAGAAGGCAGCCGUGAGGGACGGAAGUAAUCAUCAGAAUGUGCCAGAGAACGAUAUUGGCAGUACAGGCUCAGGAUGGCGAAGAGGAGGAAGAACAUGUUUGAUUGACAUGAGAGUACUCGGGUACUAUGGUCCUUUGGUAAUGACAAUAUUGUUUAGGUUUUGCUUUUGAUAGUGAAGCAGUAUUAAAGCACAUCACCAUCAGAUAUUUGUAGCAGGUGUUUCAUACACAGGACACUCAGGAAACAAAUUAACUUAAAGUAAUAAAGAAGUCACUACUAAAUUGUUUCCUUUUUUUUUUUAUGAGUAUUGAUUAAUUAUUAAUCAUUUUUACAGAUAAAAUCGUUAACUAUACCCAUCAGUAAUGAGUAAAAUUUACAUGAUUUAUGUAUUGAUUUGUUAAAUUAUCUGUGCUCAUGACUUGGUAACACUUUGCAUGGUUAAAGAAUAGGUGUAAUGUUCAAAAUGUUUUGGCUUAGUGUUUGUAGAAUUAACACUGAAUAAAUGCUGAUUAAUAAAUGAAUGCACUGUUUUUGCUCAUUUAAUGUUUAGAAUGUAAUGUUUUUGUAAUGGUUUGCAUGUAUGUAUUGAAUAUAUUCACUAAAAUCUCCUAUAACGAUUAAAAAAA
Long non-coding RNA from Labeo rohita (rohu), 833 nucleotides. RefSeq lists it as uncharacterized. The transcript has 3 exons. The record is from RefSeq and is a predicted model, not a curated record. NCBI's taxonomy places the organism in Eukaryota, Metazoa, Chordata, Actinopteri, Cypriniformes, Cyprinidae.